GUCAUUCUUCUCUUGUCUGCCAUCAUGUGAGACAUGCCUUUCACCUUCCGCUGUGAUUGUGAGAUCUCCCCAGCCACGUGGAACUUUGGAAGAAGGAUUCACAGAUAAGGAAACAGUGAUUGUAAGAAAGAAAAAAAUUUUCAUUAAGAAUUACCUCUUUUCUGCCGGGCGCAGUGGCUCACGCCUGUAAUCCUAGCACUUUGGGAGGCUGAGGCAGGCGGAUCAUGAGGAGAACAGGCAAGGGCGCAGGUUUUCGAGAAUGUGUCACUAAGGGCCACUAAAUCCGACCUUCCUUGGUCCUCCUUGUGGUCUAGGAGGAAAACUAGUGUUUCUGCUGCUGCGUUGGUGAGUGCAACUAUUCCUAUCAGCAGGGUCCAGGGACCAUUGUGGGUUCUUGUGCAAGAGGUGUUUCUGCUGCUGUGUCGAUGGGAAACACUCAGGCAACAACAGGCUCACUUUGAAAUGCAUCCUAAGCCAUUGGGACCAGUUUGACCCACAAACCCUGAAAAAGUGGCGGCUCAUUUUUUUCUACACUAUGGCUUGGCUCCAAUAUUCUCUCUCUGAUGGGGAAAAAUGGCCGCCUGAGGGAAGUAUAAAUUACAAUAUUAUCCUGCAGCUUGACAUUUUCUGAAAGAGGGAAGGCAAAUGGAGCAAAAUACCUUAUGUCCAAGCUUUCUUUUCAUUGAAGGAGAAUCCACAACUAUGCAAAGCUUGCAAUUUACAUCCCACAAGAGGACCUCUCAGCUUACCCCAAUAUCCUAGCCUCCCUGUAGCUCCCUUUCCUAUUAAUGAUAAGCCUUCUCUAAUCUCCCCACCCCGAAGGAAACAAGCAAAGAAAUCUCCAAGGGACCACAACCCCCCUGGGCUAUCGGUUAUGUCCCCUUCAAGCUGUAGGGGAAGGGGAAUUUGGCCCACCUGGGUAUAUGUCCCCUUCUCCCUCUCUGAUUUAAAGAAGAUCAAGGCAGACCUGGGGAAGCUUUCAGAUAAUCCUGAUAGGUAUAUAGAUGUCCUACAGGGUCUAGGGCAAACCUUUGAUCUCACUUGGAGAGAUGUCAUGCUAUUGUUAGAUCAAACCCUGGCCUUUAAUGAAAAAAAUGUGGCUUUAGCUGUAGCCCAAGAAUUUGGAGAUACUUGGUAUCUUAGUCAAGUAAAUGACAGAAUGACAGCUGAAGAAAGGGACAAAUUCCUUACUGGUCAGCAAGCAGUCCCCAGUAUGGAUCCCCACUGCAACCUCAACUCAGAUCAUUGGGACUGGAGUCGUAAACAUCUGUUGACCUGUGUUCUAGAAGGACUAAGGAGAAUUAGGGAAAAGCCCAUGAAUUAUUUAAUGAUGUCCACCAUAACUCAGGGAAGGGAAGAAAAUCAUUCUGCCUUCCUUGAGCUGCUAUGGGAGGCCUUAAGAAAAUAUACUCCCCUGUCUCCCAACUCACUCGAGGGUCAAUUAAUCCUAAAAGAUAAGUUUAUUACCCAGUGAGCCACAGGAAUCAGGAGAAAGCUCCAGAAGUGAGCCCUGGGCCCUGAACAAAAUCUGGAGGCAUUAUUAAACCUGGCAACCUCGGUGUUCUAUAAUAGGGACCAAGAGGAAAAUGCCGAAAAGGAAAAGUGAGAUCAGAGAAAGGCCGCAGCCUUAGUCAUGGCCCUCAGACAAACAAACCUUGGUGGUUCAGAGAGGACAGAAAAUGGAGCAGGCCAAUCACCCAGUAAGGCUUGCUAUCAGUGUGGUUUACAAGGACACUUUAAAAAAGAUUAUCUAAUGAGAAACAAGCCACCCCCUUGCCCAUGUCCACUAUGUCAAGGCAAUCACUGGAAGGUGCACUGCCCCAGAGUGCAAAGGUUCUCUAGGCCAGAAGCCCCCAACCAGAUGAUCCAACCACAGGAUUGAGGGUGCCCAGGGCAAGCGCCAGCUCCUGUCAUCACCCUCACUGAGCCCUGGGUACAUUUAACCAUCGAGGGCCAGGAAAUUGACUUCCUCCUGGACACUGGUGUGGCCUUCUCAGUGUUAAUCUCCUGUCCUGGAUGACUGUCCUCAAGGUCCAUUAUCAUCUGACGAAUCCUGGGGUCACCUGUAAUAACCACCUCCUCAGUUAUAAUUGGGAGACUUUGCUACAGAUACUAAGUAUCCUUAUCUAAUCCUACAUGCCCAUGCUGCAAUAUGGAAAGAAAGGGAGUUCCUAACCUCUGGGGGAACCCCCAUUAAAUAUCACAAGGAAACCAUGGAGUUAUUGCACGCAGUGCAAAAACCCAAGGAGGUGGCAGUCUUACACUGCCGAAGCCACCAGAAGGGAAGGAGAGGGGAGAACCACAGCAUAAACAGCUGGCAGAGGAAGGGAAAGACCGGCAGAAAGGAAAGAGAGAAAGAGACAGAAAGUGUGAGAGAGAGAGAGAGGAAGUGACAGAAACAAAGAGGGAGUCAGAAAGAAAAGAGAGAAGAGAGAAAGGGGGGAAAGACAGAAAGAGAGAGACAGAGGAAGAGACAGAGAGACAGAAAGUCAAAGAGAGAAGGAAAGAGAGGAAGAGACAAAGAAGGAGUCAGAGAGAAAGAGAUAGAAGUAGUAAAGAAAAAACAGUGUGCCCUAUUCCUUUAAAAGCCAGGGUAAAUUUAAAACCUAUGAUUGAUAAUUGAAGGUCUUCUCCAUAACCCUAAAACACUCCAAUACCACCCUGUUGUCAGUGUAAACAAGGGCAUAGCCCGAAAGCACUGAGGCCACUGACAACCUGUAGCCUUUUUAUCAAAAAUCCUUAACCCGGCCAGGUGCGGUGGCUCCUGCCUGUAAUCCCAGCACUUUGGGAGGCUGAGGCGGGCAGAUCAUGAGGUCACAAGAUUGAGGCCAUCCUGGCUAACACAGUGAAAACCCGUCUCUACUAAAAAUACAAAAAAAUUAGCUGGGUGUGGUGGUGGGUGCCUGUAGUCCCAGCUACUUGGGAGGCUGAGGCAGGAGAAUGGUGUGAACCUGGGAGGUGGAGCUUGCAGUGAGCUGAGAUAGCGCCACUGCACUCCAGCCUGGGCAACAGAGCAAGACUCCGUCUCAAAAAACAAACAAACAAACAAACAAAAUCCUUAACCCAGCAGGUUUCCUAACGGGGAUCUAAAUCUUAACUAAUUAACAUACAAAGGUCCAACCAGAUCUAGGAGGAACUCCCUUCAGGACGGGAUGAUAGAUGGUUCCUCCCAGGUGAUUAAGGAUAAAGACACAAUGGGUAUUCAGUAAGUCAUAAGGGAACUCUUGUAGAACCAGAGUUAGGAAAAUUGCCUAAUAAUUGGUCUGCUCAAAAGGAGCCAUCUAUACCAAUUCUAAGUUAAUAUGGACUCAAUGAGGUCUUAUUAAUAGCAAAGAAUAAUUGAAAUCCCAAACUUACAAAGUUUUCCACAAAAGUAAAGUUUGCUAAAAGUUAACAGUGUAACAUAUAUUAUCCUAACUUCUGAUCUUGUAGAAAUCAGACCCUAUCUGUGCCCCUCGAAGCUCAAGUCCAUCAGCACAGGGCCAUACAGCUAAUACCCCUACUUAUAGGGUUAGGAAUGGCUAGUGCUACAGAAACCGGAAUAGCAGGUUUAUCUACUUCGUUAUCCUACUACCACGACUCUCAAAGGAUUUCUCAGACAGCUUGGGAGAAAUAGCAAAAUCUAUGCUUACUCUACAAUCCCAAAUGGACUCUUUGGCAGCAGUGACUCUCCAAAACCGAUGAGGCCUAGCCCUCCUCACUGCUGAGAAAGGAGGACUCUGCACCUUCUUAGGGGAAGAGUGUUGCUUUUAUACUAACCAGUCCAAGAUAGUACGAGAUGCCACCUGGCAUUUACAGGAAAAGUCUUCUGAAAUCAGACAAUGCCUUUCAAAUUCUUAUACCAAUCUCUGGAGUUGGGUGAUAUGGCCUCUUCCCUUUCCAUGUCCUGUGACAGUCAUCUAACUAUUACUCACCUUUGGGUCCUGUAUUUUUAACCUCCUUGUCAAAUUUGUUUCCUCUAGGAUUGAGGCCAUCAAGCUACAGAUGGUCUUACAAAUGGAACCCCAAAUGAGCUCAACUAACAACUUCUACUGAGGACCCCUGGACCGACCCACUGGCCCUUUCACUGGCCUAAAGAGGACACUACAACUGCAGGGCCCCUUCUUCACCCCUAUCCAUCAGGAAGUAGCUAGAAUGGUCAUCACCCAAUUCCCAGCAGCAGUUGGGGUGUCCUGUUCAGAGGGGGGAUUGAGAGGUGAAUCCAGCUGGACUUCUGGGUCGAGUGGGGACUUAGAGAACUUUUCUGUCUAGCUAAAGGAUUGUAAAUUCACCAAUCAGCAAUCUGUAAAAACGCACCAAUCAGCACUCUGUGUCUAGCUCAAGGAUUGUAAACACACCAAUCAGCACUCUGUAAAAUAGACCAGUCAGCACUCUGUAAAAUGGACCAAUCAGCAGGACAUGGGCAGGGCCAAAUAAGGGAAUAAAAGCUGGCCACCCGAGCCAGCAGUGGCAACCCACUUGGGUCCCCUUCCAUGCUGUGGAAGCCUUUGUUCUUUCACUCUUCACAAUAAAUAUUGCUGCUGCUCACUCUUUGGGUCUGCACUACCUUUAUGGGCUGUAACACUCACUGCAAGGGUCUGCAGCUUCAUUCUUGAUGUCAGUGAGACCUAGAACCCACCAGAAGGAAUAAAUUCUGGACACACUUUCACCCAGUUUUUCCAAAUGUUUAUAUCUUAAGUAGCUCUAGCACACUAGCAAAACCAGGAAACUGACUUUGGUAUAAUAUGUGUCCAUAGUUCUAUGCCUUGUCUUAUCAUUUUUUCAGAUUUAUGUAACCACCACACAAUCCAGUGGAGAGCUAUUCCAUCCCACAGAGAUCUCCCCUCAUGCUGCCCUUUAGAGUCACACCCUACUCCCUACACAUCAUCACCCUGACAACUGACAACCACUAAUCUCUUCUCCACCAAUCUCUAUAAUAGCGUCAUUUUGAAAAUGUUACAUAAAUAGAAUCACACAGUAUGUGACUUUUGUGACUGGCAUUUUCCCCUCAGCAUGAUGUCCUUGAGAUCCAUCCAAGAUGUUGCACGUAUCAACAAUUUGCUCUUUUUUAUUGCUAAGGAAUACUCUAUCAGAUGGAGGCACUGCAGUUUAACUAUUUCCCUGUUGAGGGACAUUUUGGCUGUUUCUAUUUUGGGGCUAUUACAAAUAAAGCUGUUGUGAACAUUUGUGUAA
Pan troglodytes (chimpanzee) is the source of this 5172-nucleotide long non-coding RNA. RefSeq lists it as uncharacterized. The record is from RefSeq and is a predicted model, not a curated record. NCBI's taxonomy places the organism in Eukaryota, Metazoa, Chordata, Mammalia, Primates, Hominidae. The transcript is spliced from 4 exons.